This 715-nucleotide ribosomal RNA is filed under the name Staphylococcus sp. V30-PCA-E14. RNAcentral's name for it is "bacterial SSU rRNA". It matches the Rfam family "Bacterial small subunit ribosomal RNA", at positions 56 to 755 of the family's 1533-position model. The record is from RNAcentral. Lineage: Bacteria; Bacillati; Bacillota; Bacilli; Caryophanales; Staphylococcaceae.
UGCAGUCGAGCGACGGAUAAGGAGCUUGCUCCUUUGAAGUUAGCGGCGGACGGGUGAGUAACACGUGGGUAACCUACCUAUAAGACUGGGAUAACUUCGGGAAACCGGAGCUAAUACCGGAUAACAUUUAGAACCGCAUGGUUCUAAAGUGAAAGAUGGUUUUGCUAUCACUUAUAGAUGGACCCGCGCCGUAUUAGCUAGUUGGUAAGGUAACGGCUUACCAAGGCGACGAUACGUAGCCGACCUGAGAGGGUGAUCGGCCACACUGGAACUGAGACACGGUCCAGACUCCUACGGGAGGCAGCAGUAGGGAAUCUUCCGCAAUGGGCGAAAGCCUGACGGAGCAACGCCGCGUGAGUGAUGAAGGGUUUCGGCUCGUAAAACUCUGUUAUUAGGGAAGAACAAAUGUGUAAGUAACUGUGCACAUCUUGACGGUACCUAAUCAGAAAGCCACGGCUAACUACGUGCCAGCAGCCGCGGUAAUACGUAGGUGGCAAGCGUUAUCCGGAAUUAUUGGGCGUAAAGCGCGCGUAGGCGGUUUCUUAAGUCUGAUGUGAAAGCCCACGGCUCAACCGUGGAGGGUCAUUGGAAACUGGGAAACUUGAGUGCAGAAGAGGAAAGUGGAAUUCCAUGUGUAGCGGUGAAAUGCGCAGAGAUAUGGAGGAACACCAGUGGCGAAGGCGACUUUCUGGUCUGUAACUGACGCUGAUGUGCG